CCCUUAGAUGUUCUGGGCCGCACGCGUGCUACACUGAACGGUUCAAUGGGUGAGGUAGUGCGAAAGCAUGACCCAAUCUCAAAAUCCGUUCGUGCUGGGGAUAGAAGCUUGCAAUUCUCCUUCUUGAACGAGGAAUACCUUGUAAGCGCGAGUCAUCAUCUCGCGCUGAAUACGUCCCUGCCCUUUGUACACACCGCCCGUCGCUACUACUGAUUGGAUGUUUAAGCGAGGUUCUCGAACUGCUAGCGACUUAGCUUCGGUGAGGUCGCAGUGUGGGAAGUGAACCUAGCUUUGGUGUCUAGAGGAAGUAAAAGUCGUAACA
RNAcentral lists this ribosomal RNA (322 nucleotides) under uncultured eukaryote. RNAcentral's name for it is "partial 18S ribosomal RNA". It matches the Rfam family "Eukaryotic small subunit ribosomal RNA", at positions 1470 to 1796 of the family's 1831-position model. The record is from RNAcentral.